UUAUUCCAUCCUUGUGCCCUGCUCCCCGCAUGCUCACCAUGUGUUUGAUGAAAAGCCGGUAAGGAUACCCGACCAUAUUAUUAUGAUAAUAUUUGCUGUUUUCGAGCAGAUUCAGUAUUUUAUUGUCAACGGAGUAACUCUGAACUUUUAUGUCUGUGCCACACUUGGUCUGCUAUAGACAUAUUACAAAUACAAGUUCGCAUCAGUCAAUUCAACACGAGCUCUACAUUUGUUUCUUCGCUAGGAGUGCAUAGUUGCUUGUUAUGCUUGCUUGAAUCAAAUUUUGAGAUGCAGAUUAGUCUAGCAUUGUCCAGGAUUGGAGGCAUUUAGUUUAGGAAUGGGUGCACAGGCCACCUAGCUUUCGUGAGUACAUACAACACUAGCCUCUUUAGAUUUAGUAUUUUCUUAUGGUGUGAGGUAUUGGCAAUGCUCGAGGAAGUAUUGGCAGGAAUCGGGAUGACUCAAUGAGAUUGGCUUUUGAUUUUGUUUUGUUCAUGUAGCUUGCAAACCAUCACUAUUUCCUGAAACUGAAAUGCUUCCACUCCUUAAGAACAUAUGUGGUGCCAAACUAAAGCUUUGUGAGGUUAUGCAGGGUGACAUGCAGAACAAUAAAUCAUAUUCGAAGAAACAGCUCCGGACCAUGCAAUUUUAAUAGAAUCAGUUUAUUACUAUAUAUGCAUAAUUUUAGAGUUGCCGUGAAAUUUAUCACUACCUUGUUCGCUGCAAGAGUUCCCUUAAGGAAAAUAGUAGUCUAAUGUAAGUUGGUGCAGUGCUAUUCAUCAGCUCAUGUGCUUAUUUCUUCAUUAGGGAAAACCUUUCGUGCUUGAUCCUUUGUCUGCCAUGGAUGAUGGUUGAAGAAAUGUUGAGUUUUCAGAACAGAAAUUUAUGAUUCUAGAUCAUGAAUUUCAUUCUUCAACACCAUUGAUCGAUAUUGUUCUUUUUUCCAUUGUGAACCAUGAAUAUGGAUGCCAUGGCUAAGCGCUGUGCUUUUUUUCAACCUGAAAUUCUGGGAACCUGAUUGGAGGAAUUUUUUUUUUUUAGAAACAGGUCACCCCUGCAACCAAUGCAUUGUCUGAUGAAGACGUCAAGGCUCUCACCAAUAGCUCGCAAGAUGGUGGGUUGAAGUUUUUGAGGAAAGGACUCUACAACCUUCAACGACAUGCAUGCUUAAAUAGUCUCACAUGGAGUUCCUCGUAUUAUUGAAUGCAAUCAACUAUAACAGUUCUUCUGUCCUUUGCCUCCCACAUAUAUGUUGAGCUACAAGAAUGCCUGGUUCACCACAUAAAUUUGAAGUAUUGACAUUUUGAGGUGCAAUUCAAUAGAUCCUGAAGUCAAUUGCCAGCACAGAAUGUCAAGCAAGCAAACAGUAGUGCCAAUGCAAAAAAACAAACCCGCUGCUCAUGCAGUUAUAGAAGCAACAAGUCUGCCUCAAUGAUAUUUUUAUAUCGAGUCUUCAGUCUUUGGUGCUUCUCAUGGUAUCUUGUUUUUCUUUAUUAUGUUCUUUUUUAGAUAGUGGCUUCACUGUAUUAUGCAAAUAAAAUCAAUAUUGUGUAACCUCAUGUCAAUCCACACAUGGAUUGAUCGAUAUAUUUUGUACAUGAUGGACGGAUUUUUCUUUUGUUAAGCAUGAUCAUUUGACUAUUUGUUGAUU
Panicum virgatum (switchgrass) is the source of this 1651-nucleotide long non-coding RNA. RefSeq lists it as uncharacterized. The transcript has 3 exons. NCBI's taxonomy places the organism in Eukaryota, Viridiplantae, Streptophyta, Magnoliopsida, Poales, Poaceae. The record is from RefSeq and is a predicted model, not a curated record.